GAAAAGAAACUAACAAGGAUUCCCCUAGUAACUGCGAGUGAAGCGGGAAAAGCUCAAAUUUAAAAUCUGGCGGUCUUUGGCCGUCCGAGUUGUAGUCUGGAGAAGUGCUUUCCGCGCUGGACCGUGUAUAAGUCUCUUGGAACAGAGCGUCAUAGAGGGUGAGAAUCCCGUCUUUGACACGGACUACCAGUGCUUUGUGAUGCGCUCUCAAAGAGUCGAGUUGUUUGGGAAUGCAGCUCAAAAUGGGUGGUGAAUUCCAUCUAAAGCUAAAUAUUGGCGAGAGACCGAUAGCGAACAAGUACCGUGAGGGAAAGAUGAAAAGCACUUUGGAAAGAGAGUUAAACAGUACGUGAAAUUGCUGAAAGGGAAACGCUUGAAGUCAGUCGCGUUGUCUGGGACUCAGCCUUGCUUUUGCUUGGUGCACUUUCCGGAUGACGGGCCAGCAUCGAUUUUGACCGUCGGAAAAGGGCUAGGGUAAUGUGGCACCUCCGGGUGUGUUAUAGACUUUAGUCGCAUACGGCGGUCGGGAUCGAGGAACGCAGCGCGCCGUAAGGCAGGGGUUCGCCCACUUUCGCGCUUAGGAUGCUGGCGUAAUGGCUUUAAACGACCCGUCUUGAAACACGGACCAAGGAGUCUAACAUGCCUGCGAGUGUUUGGGUGGAAAACCCGAGCGCGUAAUGAAAGUGAAAGUUGAGACCUCUGUCGUGGAGGGCAUCGACGCCCGGACCUGACGUUCUCUGACGGAUCCGCGGUAGAGCAUGUAUGUUGGGACCCGAAAGAUGGUGAACUAUGCCUGAAUAGGGUGAAGCCAGAGGAAACUCUGGUGGAGGCUCGUAGCGAUUCUGACGUGCAAAUCGAUCGUCAAAUUUGGGUAUAGGGGCGAAAGACUAAUCGAACCAUCUAGUAGCUGGU
RNAcentral lists this ribosomal RNA (912 nucleotides) under Sanguinoderma rugosum. RNAcentral describes it as "partial 28S ribosomal RNA". It matches the Rfam family "Eukaryotic large subunit ribosomal RNA", at positions 56 to 955 of the family's 3401-position model. The record is from RNAcentral. Lineage: Eukaryota; Fungi; Basidiomycota; Agaricomycetes; Polyporales; Polyporaceae.